This 253-nucleotide ribosomal RNA is filed under the name uncultured bacterium. Its description in RNAcentral is "partial 16S ribosomal RNA". It matches the Rfam family "Bacterial small subunit ribosomal RNA", at positions 524 to 776 of the family's 1533-position model. The record is from RNAcentral.
UACGUAGGGUGCGAGCGUUGUCCGGAAUUAUUGGGCGUAAAGAGCUCGUAGGCGGUUUGUCACGUCUGCUGUGAAAUCCCGAGGCUCAACCUCGGGCCUGCAGUGGGUACGGGCAGACUGGAGUGCGGUAGGGGAGAAUGGAAUUCCUGGUGUAGCGGUGGAAUGCGCAGAUAUCAGGAGGAACACCGAUGGCGAAGGCGGCUCUCUGGGCCUUACCUGACGCUGAGGAGCGAAAGCGUGGGUAGCGAACAGG